AUGAGCGGUGCCCGGUCCCAGGCGCUUGUGGAGUCCGGAGGGGAUUUGAAAAAGCCCGGAGACUCUCUCCGCCUCUCCUGCAAAGCCUCCGGGUUCACCUUCAGCAGCGCCUACAUGAACUGGGUCCGUCAGGCUCCUGGCAAGGGACUGGAAUGGGUCGCUCGUAUAAACCCCAGUUUGGGUACUGCAUACCUUGAUUCAGUGAAAGGCCGAUUCACCAUCUCCAGGGACAAUUCCAAGAGUGAGCUGUAUCUGCAAAUGACCGGCCUGAAGCCCGAGGACACCGCCCGCUAUUACUGUGCGAGAGACACAGUGACACAGAAACUGAUUGAUGCUCCUGCAAAAACCCAGGCUGCAGAAUCCGCGCGCCACAUGGGGGCAGCAGCGACAUAA
This is a non-coding RNA of Emys orbicularis (European pond turtle), 393 nucleotides long. The record is from the annotation of a RefSeq genome assembly. Lineage: Eukaryota; Metazoa; Chordata; Testudines; Emydidae.